This 86-nucleotide small RNA is filed under the name human gut metagenome. RNAcentral describes it as "GA-cis RNA". It matches the Rfam family "GA-cis RNA". The record is from RNAcentral.
AGAGGAGGAACCAUUAUGAACGGAGUUCAUAAUUAUGCAUGGUUCCGACGACAGGCCGCCGAGUAAAACGAGGGGGCAAUACAAUU